RNAcentral lists this ribosomal RNA (856 nucleotides) under uncultured bacterium. RNAcentral's name for it is "SSU rRNA". It matches the Rfam family "Bacterial small subunit ribosomal RNA", at positions 524 to 1381 of the family's 1533-position model. The record is from RNAcentral.
UACGAAGGGACCUAGCGUAGUUCGGAAUUACUGGGCUUAAAGAGUUCGUAGGUGGUUGAAAAAGUUGGUGGUGAAAUCCCAGAGCUUAACCCUGGAACUGCCAUCAAAACUUUUCAGCUAGAGUAUGAUAGAGGAAAGCAGAAUUUCUAGUGUAGAGGUGAAAUUCGUAGAUAUUAGAAAGAAUACCAAUUGCGAAGGCAGCUUUCUGGAUCAUUACUGACACUGAGGAACGAAAGCAUGGGUAGCGAAGAGGAUUAGAUACCCUCGUAGUCCAUGCCGUAAACGAUGUGUGUUAGACGUUGGAAAUUUAUUUUCAGUGUCGCAGCGAAAGCGAUAAACACACCGCCUGGGGAGUACGACCGCAAGGUUAAAACUCAAAUGAAUUGACGGGGACCCGCACAAGUAGUGGAGCAUGUGGUUUAAUUCGAAGAUACGCGCAGAACCUUACCAACACUUGACAUGUUCGUCGCGACUCUAAGAGAUUAGAGUUUUCGGUUCGGCCGGACGAAACACAGGUGCUGCAUGGCUGUCGUCAGCUCGUGUCGUGAGAUGUUGGGUUAAGUCCCGCAACGAGCGCAACCCUCACUUUUAGUUGCCAUCAUUAAGUUGGGCACUCUGAAAGAACUGCCAGUGAUAAGCUGGAGGAAGGUGGGGAUGACGUCAAGUCCUCAUGGCCCUUACGUGUUGGGCUACACACGUGCUACAAUGGUAUCUACAACAGGAAGCAAGACUGCGAAGUUAAGCAAAUCCCUAAAAGAUACCUCAGUUCGGAUUGCACUCUGCAACUCGAGUGCAUGAAGCUGGAAUUACUAGUAAUCGUGGAUCAGCGUGCCACGGUGAAUGCGUUCCCGGGUCU